Molecule: ribosomal RNA, 463 nt
Filed under: Vreelandella stevensii
Lineage: Bacteria; Pseudomonadati; Pseudomonadota; Gammaproteobacteria; Oceanospirillales; Halomonadaceae
Description: partial 16S ribosomal RNA
Rfam family: Bacterial small subunit ribosomal RNA
Source: RNAcentral
CCUACGGGUGGCUGCAGUGGGGAAUAUUGGACAAUGGGCGAAAGCCUGAUCCAGCCAUGCCGCGUGUGUGAAGAAGGCCUUCGGGUUGUAAAGCACUUUCAGUGGGGAAGAAAGCCUUGGGGCUAAUACCCUCGAGGAAGGACAUCACCCACAGAAGAAGCACCGGCUAACUCCGUGCCAGCAGCCGCGGUAAUACGGAGGGUGCGAGCGUUAAUCGGAAUUACUGGGCGUAGCGCGCGUAGGCGGUCUGAUAAGCCGGUUGUGAAAGCCCCGGGCUCAACCUGGGAACGGCAUCCGGAACUGUCAGGCUAGAGUGCAGGAGAGGAAGGUAGAAUUCCCGGUGUAGCGGUGAAAUGCGUAGAGAUCGGGAGGAAUACCAGUGGCGAAGGCGGCCUUCUGGACUGACACUGACGCUGAGGUGCGAAAGCGUGGGUAGCAAACAGGAUUAGAUACCCCAGUAGUC